UCUCGCGCCCUCCGAGCACCUCGCUGCGCGCAGGUAGUUCCCGGGUGGGUGGAGACUCUCCAGGUUUACGUCGCCAAGGGCGCAUUCUCUAGCCGAAUUAAAAUCCCAGCAGGUGAGCUGAUAGGACCACCUGCAGCCAGGAGAACUUGGGGGCACGUCCAGAUACAAACAGAUGUGGCUGGUGACUCAUCCCUAAGGGCACCCUCUUUCUUCUCAGUGAAAGUGGAGACAGUGACUUACCUCCUCGGAUCCCUGGGAGGAUAAAUGAACUAACUCAUGUUUGAAGAAAAAAAUGAUUCUGACACUUGCUAAAAUGUGAGUAAAUCAAACCAGAAGAGGCAGAGCAGAGAAAGUAACCGAAACGCUGCCUGCAAGUCACAUGCAUCUGUGAGAGAGCAGGCCUUCCACCGGAGCGCAUUGGAGAAGGGCCGGGAAGGCAGAGCCGUGGCCCCUGGCAGGGAUGAAUGCUGCAUCUGGAUUUGAUGUGGAGACCUUUCUUCCAGUGCUGCUUCUCGGCGUGACCCAAGCACUCGGGCUGGCUCUGUGUUUCUUGUCCUAAGGCCUGGCAGGGUCGGGGAAAGGCUGACACGAGCACAAGGACGGCCUGGAGAACUUGCGAAAACCCACCUCCGGAGACUCUGGUUCAGCAGGGGGAUCCCACAUUUCGGCCAAGCUCCCAGGUGAUGGGCCGCUGCUGGUCCUGGACCACAGGGCGAGGUCGGAGGGACUAGACAGCCUCUUGCAUCCAGAAGAGGCAGCCGAUGCUCUAUCAGCCCUUCUGUCCUGAUGAGAAUUCUGAAAAUACACUCCCUGCAAUGGAAGCCCCUGGUCCUGCCGACCCCUCCCCAGCACACGCCCUCCUGUCUCCCGUGGCAGUGAAGGUCAUCACGGAGGCCGUGGUGCCCCUUUCAACUCCAUGACACCCCCAAUGGGGAACAUCAGUGGUCUGUUUGCUCUUUGGGCCCCUCCCUCUGUCCCUCCCAGCACCCCUUUUUUCCCCCUGUUGUUCUGUUGUUUUAGAAACAUGUUCCUUGCAGGUUACAGGCGUGGUCACUGUCUCUCUCCAGCGGCAAAGUGAACCCCAUUGCCUGGAGCUGAAGUCCACCAUCUCGACAUAAGCUGUUAUUGGACGGCUUGACUAUGGCUUGCAGUAAGGAUCCACCUGUGGCUCUCUCAGUGGUGGCUUUGGGAGGUGACUUGUGGCUGGAUGACUCCUUAAGGGGCAGGUGCAGCUGUCACUUUCCCACGCGGCGUGGCUCUCAUGUCUUCAGACCCUUUGGCCAUUCCCAGCAGGCUCAGGAGCCACUCCUGGCAUCGCCAGACAAAUCACGGCCAGGCAGCCCUGUGGGAACGCUGGGUACCUCUGGGGAACGGCUGGAAGGUUCCCGCAGGAGGAAUGCAGGGGACACCGGCGACCAGCUCAGCAGCUAUUGGUUUCCACUUGGCUUCCUGCGUAGCUUGCCCCCUACCCCCACCCCGGGGGGUGGGUAUCUCUAGAAACUCAUGAUCCUGUUAUUGCAAAGCCACUGACACCUGCAACUCUGCCUCGGUGGCCAGGAUCUGUACAUGCUGCCUCGGGCUGAGUCCAGAGCAGUUUUCCAAACCUCUUUGACCACGAACCCCAUCCCUUCUUUUCCAAUGGAGCAUCUCACGCCCCCAGGGUUCCAGGGGACACACGUUAGGGAAGGAGCCUGAAUGGUGGCUUUAAAAAUGAUCUCUGAGUAUGUGAUGAAUCAUUGCCAAAAAAAAAAAAAAAAAAAAAAAUCCAGAAUACCUACUAAAACCAUCCUAGAAAAUAAAUUAGUU
This is a non-coding RNA of Sus scrofa (pig), 1806 nucleotides long. NCBI's taxonomy places the organism in Eukaryota, Metazoa, Chordata, Mammalia, Artiodactyla, Suidae. The record is from RefSeq and is a predicted model, not a curated record.